Molecule: unclassified non-coding RNA, 200 nt
Filed under: fungal sp.
Lineage: Eukaryota; Fungi
Description: partial internal transcribed spacer 2
Source: RNAcentral
UUAAGUUCAGCGGGUAUCCCCACCUGAUCCGAGGUCAACCUUGAUAGAAAAAAAAGGUGUGUUCUGCGGCGGACGUGGCCCGUCUCGAAAACGCUGGAAAGUUAUCUCGCUGCGCUCGAAGACGGACGGCGACGCCGAGGGGUUUGAGGCGGGCCCGGAGGGCUUCACCCAACACCAAGCAGAGCUUGAUUUGUGUAAUG